Molecule: transfer RNA, 81 nt
Filed under: Myxococcales bacterium
Lineage: Bacteria; Pseudomonadati; Myxococcota; Myxococcia; Myxococcales
Also listed under: 1 other name
Description: tRNA-Leu
Rfam family: tRNA
About the family: Transfer RNA (tRNA) molecules are approximately 80 nucleotides in length. Their secondary structure includes four short double-helical elements and three loops (D, anti-codon, and T loops).
Source: RNAcentral
GCCGGGGUGGCGGAAUGGCAGACGCAGGCGACUUAAAAUCGCCCGUGGCAACACGUGUGGGUUCGAGUCCCGCCCCCGGCA